GACGAACGCUGGCGGCGUGCUUAACACAUGCAAGUCGAACGGCCCGCCCUGACAGAAUCCUUCGGGAUGACGUGAGGAUCCGGGCAGUGGCGGACGGGUGAGUAACGCGUGGAGAACCUGUCCUCUGGACCGGGAUAACCUGGCGAAAGCCGGGCUAAUCCGGGAUGAGCUUCAGGGGUAGCAUUACCCUUAAAGGAAAGGUGGUGAAUGCCAUCGCCAGGGGGUGGCUCCGCGUCGGAUUAGCUAGCUGGUGGGGUAACGGCUCACCAGGGCGACGAUCCGUAGCUGGUCUGAGAGGACGAUCAGCCACACUGGGACUGAGACACGGCCCAGACUCCUACGGGAGGCAGCAGUGGGGAAUCUUCCGCAAUGGGCGCAAGCCUGACGGAGCAACGCCGCGUGAGUGAAGAAGGCCUUCGGGUCGUAAAGCUCUGUCCUCAGGGAAGAAACUUUAAUAGAGGAAAUGCUAUUAAACUGACGGUACCUGAGGAGGAAGCCCUGGCUAACUACGUGCCAGCAGCCGCGGUAAUACGUAGAGGGCAAGCGUUGUCCGGAAUCACUGGGCGUAAAGGGUACGUAGGCGGAUAUUUAAGUCAAAUGUGAAAUCCACCGGCUCAACCGGUGAUGUGCAUUUGAAACUGGAUAUCUUGAGUACAGGAGAGGAGAGCGGAAUUCCUGGUGUAGCGGUGGAAUGCGUAGAUAUCAGGAAGAACACCAGUGGCGAAAGCGGCUCUCUGGCCUGAGACUGACGCUGAUGUACGAAAGCUGGGGGAGCGAACGGGAUUAGAUACCCCGGUAGUCCCAGCCGUAAACGAUGGACACUAUGUGUUGGAGGUUCGAAUCCUUC
RNAcentral lists this ribosomal RNA (847 nucleotides) under uncultured bacterium. RNAcentral describes it as "bacterial SSU rRNA". It matches the Rfam family "Bacterial small subunit ribosomal RNA", at positions 28 to 841 of the family's 1533-position model. The record is from RNAcentral.